This 514-nucleotide ribosomal RNA is filed under the name uncultured bacterium. RNAcentral's name for it is "bacterial SSU rRNA". It matches the Rfam family "Bacterial small subunit ribosomal RNA", at positions 8 to 518 of the family's 1533-position model. The record is from RNAcentral.
AGAAUUGAUCUGGUUCAGGAUGAACGCUAGCGGCAGGCUUAACACAUGCAAGUCGAGGGGCAACGCGAGUAGCAAUACUUGGCGGCGACCGGCGCAAGGGUGCGUAACGCGUGAGCAACAUGCCCGUAUCAGGGGGAUAAUCCAGGGAAACUUGGUCUAAUACCCCAUAGUAAUUUUGUAAGGCAUCUUAUAAGAUUUAAAGCUUUGGUGGAUACGGAUUGGCUCGCGUGACAUUAGCUGGAUGGUAAGGUAACGGCUUACCAUGGCUAUGAUGUCUAGGGGUUCUGAGAGGAAGGUCCCCCACACUGGAACUGAGACACGGUCCAGACUCCUACGGGAGGCAGCAGUGAGGAAUAUUGGACAAUGGAUGGAAAUCUGAUCCAGCCAUGCCGCCGUGAAGGAAGAAGGUCCUAUGGAUUGUAAACUUCUUUUGUAUGGGAGCAAUAAGGCCUACGAGUAGGUUGGUGAGAGUACCAUACGAAUAAGCACCGGCUAACUCCGUGCCAGCCGCUGC